This 2916-nucleotide ribosomal RNA is filed under the name Bacillus cereus 03BB102. RNAcentral describes it as "bacterial LSU rRNA". It matches the Rfam family "Bacterial large subunit ribosomal RNA". Lineage: Bacteria; Bacillati; Bacillota; Bacilli; Caryophanales; Bacillaceae. The record is from RNAcentral.
UAAGUUAGAAAGGGCGCACGGUGGAUGCCUUGACACUAGGAGUCGAUGAAGGACGGGACUAACGCCGAUAUGCUUCGGGGAGCUGUAAGUAAGCUUUGAUCCGAAGAUUUCCGAAUGGGGAAACCCACCAUACGUAAUGGUAUGGUAUCCUUAUCUGAAUACAUAGGGUAAGGAAGACAGACCCAGGGAACUGAAACAUCUAAGUACCUGGAGGAAGAGAAAGCAAAUGCGAUUUCCUGAGUAGCGGCGAGCGAAACGGAACAUAGCCCAAACCAAGAGGCUUGCCUCUUGGGGUUGUAGGACAUUCUAUACGGAGUUACAAAGGAACGAGGUAGACGAAGCGACCUGGAAAGGUCCGUCGUAGAGGGUAACAACCCCGUAGUCGAAACUUCGUUCUCUCUUGAAUGUAUCCUGAGUACGGCGGAACACGUGAAAUUCCGUCGGAAUCUGGGAGGACCAUCUCCCAAGGCUAAAUACUCCCUAGUGAUCGAUAGUGAACCAGUACCGUGAGGGAAAGGUGAAAAGCACCCCGGAAGGGGAGUGAAAGAGAUCCUGAAACCGUGUGCCUACAAAUAGUCAGAGCCCGUUAACGGGUGAUGGCGUGCCUUUUGUAGAAUGAACCGGCGAGUUACGAUCCCGUGCGAGGUUAAGCUGAAGAGGCGGAGCCGCAGCGAAAGCGAGUCUGAAUAGGGCGUUUAGUACGUGGUCGUAGACCCGAAACCAGGUGAUCUACCCAUGUCCAGGGUGAAGUUCAGGUAACACUGAAUGGAGGCCCGAACCCACGCACGUUGAAAAGUGCGGGGAUGAGGUGUGGGUAGCGGAGAAAUUCCAAUCGAACCUGGAGAUAGCUGGUUCUCCCCGAAAUAGCUUUAGGGCUAGCCUUAAGUGUAAGAGUCUUGGAGGUAGAGCACUGAUUGGACUAGGGGUCCUCAUCGGAUUACCGAAUUCAGUCAAACUCCGAAUGCCAAUGACUUAUCCUUAGGAGUCAGACUGCGAGUGAUAAGAUCCGUAGUCAAAAGGGAAACAGCCCAGACCGCCAGCUAAGGUCCCAAAGUGUGUAUUAAGUGGAAAAGGAUGUGGAGUUGCUUAGACAACUAGGAUGUUGGCUUAGAAGCAGCCACCAUUUAAAGAGUGCGUAAUAGCUCACUAGUCGAGUGACUCUGCGCCGAAAAUGUACCGGGGCUAAAUACACCACCGAAGCUGCGGAUUGAUACCAAUGGUAUCAGUGGUAGGGGAGCGUUCUAAGGACAGUGAAGUCAGACCGGAAGGACUGGUGGAGUGCUUAGAAGUGAGAAUGCCGGUAUGAGUAGCGAAAGACGGGUGAGAAUCCCGUCCACCGAAUGCCUAAGGUUUCCUGAGGAAGGCUCGUCCGCUCAGGGUUAGUCAGGACCUAAGCCGAGGCCGACAGGCGUAGGCGAUGGACAACAGGUUGAUAUUCCUGUACCACCUCUAUCGUUUGAGCAAUGGAGGGACGCAGAAGGAUAGAAGAAGCGUGCGAUUGGUUGUGCACGUCCAAGCAGUUAGGCUGAUAAGUAGGCAAAUCCGCUUAUCGUGAAGGCUGAGCUGUGAUGGGGAAGCUCCUUAUGGAGCGAAGUCUUUGAUUCCCCGCUGCCAAGAAAAGCUUCUAGCGAGAUAAAAGGUGCCUGUACCGCAAACCGACACAGGUAGGCGAGGAGAGAAUCCUAAGGUGUGCGAGAGAACUCUGGUUAAGGAACUCGGCAAAAUGACCCCGUAACUUCGGGAGAAGGGGUGCUUUCUUAACGGAAAGCCGCAGUGAAUAGGCCCAAGCGACUGUUUAGCAAAAACACAGCUCUCUGCGAAGCCGUAAGGCGAAGUAUAGGGGGUGACACCUGCCCGGUGCUGGAAGGUUAAGGAGAGGGGUUAGCGUAAGCGAAGCUCUGAACUGAAGCCCCAGUAAACGGCGGCCGUAACUAUAACGGUCCUAAGGUAGCGAAAUUCCUUGUCGGGUAAGUUCCGACCCGCACGAAAGGUGUAACGAUUUGGGCACUGUCUCAACCAGAGACUCGGUGAAAUUAUAGUACCUGUGAAGAUGCAGGUUACCCGCGACAGGACGGAAAGACCCCGUGGAGCUUUACUGUAGCCUGAUAUUGAAUUUUGGUACAGUUUGUACAGGAUAGGCGGGAGCCUUUGAAACCGGAGCGCUAGCUUCGGUGGAGGCGCUGGUGGGAUACCGCCCUGACUGUAUUGAAAUUCUAACCUACGGGUCUUAUCGACCCGGGAGACAGUGUCAGGUGGGCAGUUUGACUGGGGCGGUCGCCUCCUAAAGUGUAACGGAGGCGCCCAAAGGUUCCCUCAGAAUGGUUGGAAAUCAUUCGUAGAGUGCAAAGGCAUAAGGGAGCUUGACUGCGAGACCUACAAGUCGAGCAGGGACGAAAGUCGGGCUUAGUGAUCCGGUGGUUCCGCAUGGAAGGGCCAUCGCUCAACGGAUAAAAGCUACCCCGGGGAUAACAGGCUUAUCUCCCCCAAGAGUCCACAUCGACGGGGAGGUUUGGCACCUCGAUGUCGGCUCAUCGCAUCCUGGGGCUGUAGUCGGUCCCAAGGGUUGGGCUGUUCGCCCAUUAAAGCGGUACGCGAGCUGGGUUCAGAACGUCGUGAGACAGUUCGGUCCCUAUCCGUCGUGGGCGUAGGAAAUUUGAGAGGAGCUGUCCUUAGUACGAGAGGACCGGGAUGGACGCACCGCUGGUGUACCAGUUGUUCUGCCAAGGGCAUAGCUGGGUAGCUAUGUGCGGAAGGGAUAAGUGCUGAAAGCAUCUAAGCAUGAAGCCCCCCUCAAGAUGAGAUUUCCCAUAGCGUAAGCUAGUAAGAUCCCUGAAAGAUGAUCAGGUUGAUAGGUUCGAGGUGGAAGCAUGGUGACAUGUGGAGCUGACGAAUACUAAUAGAUCGAGGACUUAACCA